RNAcentral lists this ribosomal RNA (253 nucleotides) under uncultured bacterium. RNAcentral's name for it is "partial 16S ribosomal RNA". It matches the Rfam family "Bacterial small subunit ribosomal RNA", at positions 524 to 776 of the family's 1533-position model. The record is from RNAcentral.
UACGGUGGGGGUAAGCGUUGUUCGGAAUUACUGGGCGUAAAGGGCUCGUAGGCGGCCAACUAAGUCAGACGUGAAAUCCCUCAGCUUAACUGGGGAACUGCGUCUGAUACUGGAUGGCUUGGAUCCGGGAGAGGGAUGCGGAAUUCCAGGUGUAGCGGUGAAAUGCGUAGAUAUCUGGAGGAACACCGGUGGCGAAGGCGGCAUCCUGGACCAACACUGACGCUGAGGAGCGAAAGCCAGGGGAGCAAACGGG